UGCAUUGCGACGGGUUACAUCA
This 22-nucleotide microRNA is filed under the name Chrysemys picta bellii (western painted turtle). RNAcentral describes it as "Cpi-Mir-1397_5p (mature (guide))". The record is from RNAcentral. Lineage: Eukaryota; Metazoa; Chordata; Testudines; Emydidae. RNAcentral also lists the same sequence under 9 other names.